RNAcentral lists this ribosomal RNA (367 nucleotides) under uncultured archaeon. RNAcentral describes it as "bacterial SSU rRNA". It matches the Rfam family "Archaeal small subunit ribosomal RNA", at positions 347 to 719 of the family's 1478-position model. The record is from RNAcentral.
ACUUUACAAUGCGGGCAACCGUGAUAAGGGAACCUCGAGUGCCUGUAUAUGCAGGCUGUCCAGGUGCCUAAAACACACCUGAAGAAAGGGCCGGGCAAGACCGGUGCCAGCCGCCGCGGUAAUACCGGCGGCUCGAGUGGUGGCCACUUUUAUUGGGCUUAAAGCGUUCGUAGCUGGGUUGUUAAGUCUCUUGGGAAAUCCGGCGGCUCAACCGAUGGGCGUUCAGGAGAUACUGGCAACCUAGGGACCGGAGAGGUGAGAGGUACUCCAGGGGUAGGAGUGAAAUCCUGUAAUCCUUGGGGGACCACCUGUGGCGAAGGCGUCUCACUAGAACGGCUCCGACAGUGAGGGACGAAAGCUGGGGGAC